UUGGACCUUGGACCUGAUAUC
Molecule: ribosomal RNA, 21 nt
Filed under: Globisporangium stipitatum
Lineage: Eukaryota; Oomycota; Peronosporomycetes; Pythiales; Pythiaceae
Also listed under: 1 other name
Description: Pythium stipitatum partial 28S ribosomal RNA
Source: RNAcentral